CCCCUCUCAGGGUCACACCUGGAGAGUUUUCCAGUAUCCUACUAGUCUCGGCUACAGGAGGGAGAGUCGAGCAGAGGCCUACCCAUUCCAAUCCUAGCUUGGACAGUGGCUAGUGAGUGGAGGGCAAUCUGCUACAGGU
This is a small nucleolar RNA of Tachyglossus aculeatus (Australian echidna), 139 nucleotides long. The record is from RefSeq and is a predicted model, not a curated record. Lineage: Eukaryota; Metazoa; Chordata; Mammalia; Monotremata; Tachyglossidae.